GAUGAACGCUGGCGGCGUGCUUAACACAUGCAAGUCGAACGAUGAAGCCCAGCUUGCUGGGUGGAUUAGUGGCGAACGGGUGAGUAACACGUGAGUAACCUGCCCUUAACUCUGGGAUAAGCCUGGGAAACUGGGUCUAAUACCGGAUAGGAGCGUCCACCGCAUGGUGGGUGUUGGAAAGAUUUAUCGGUUUUGGAUGGACUCGCGGCCUAUCAGCUUGUUGGUGAGGUAAUGGCUCACCAAGGCGACGACGGGUAGCCGGCCUGAGAGGGUGACCGGCCACACGGGGACUGAGACACGGCCCAGACUCCUACGGGAGGCAGCAGUGGGGAAUAUUGCACAUGGGCGCAAGCCUGAUGCAGCGACGCCGCGUGAGGGAUGACGGCCUUCGGGUUGUAAACCUCUUUCAGUAGGGAAGAAGCGAAAGUGACGGUACCUGCAGAAGAAGCACCGGCUAACUACGUG
Molecule: ribosomal RNA, 465 nt
Filed under: uncultured bacterium
Lineage: Bacteria
Description: partial 16S ribosomal RNA
Rfam family: Bacterial small subunit ribosomal RNA
Source: RNAcentral